GUCGAGAGGCUUCGGCAAUGGGGGAAACCCUGACCGAGCGACGCCGCGUGGGUGAUGAAGGCCCUUUGGGUCGUAAAGCCCUGUCACGUGGGAAGAAACGCCGGGGGGCGACAAGCUCUCCGGCUUGACGGUACCGCGAGAGGAAGCUCCGGCUAACUCCGUGCCAGCAGCCGCGGUAAUACGGGGGGAGCGAGCGUUGUUCGGAAUUACUGGGCGUAAAGGGCGUGUAGGCGGUCAUGUAAGUCGGGGGUGAAAUGCACCGGCUCAACCGGUUGAAUUGCCUCCGAAACUGCGCGACUCGAGUACGGAAGAGGAAAGCGGAAUUCCCGGUGUAGCGGUGAAAUGCGUAGAUAUCGGGAAGAACAUCGGUGGCGAAGGCGGCUUUCUGGUCCAGUACUGACGCUAAAGCGCGAAAGCCAGGGGAGCGAACGGGAUUAGAUACCCGAGUAGUCC
This 453-nucleotide ribosomal RNA is filed under the name uncultured bacterium. Its description in RNAcentral is "bacterial SSU rRNA". It matches the Rfam family "Bacterial small subunit ribosomal RNA", at positions 354 to 796 of the family's 1533-position model. The record is from RNAcentral.